Eleginops maclovinus (Patagonian blennie) is the source of this 1118-nucleotide long non-coding RNA. RefSeq lists it as uncharacterized. The record is from RefSeq and is a predicted model, not a curated record. NCBI's taxonomy places the organism in Eukaryota, Metazoa, Chordata, Actinopteri, Perciformes, Eleginopidae. The transcript has 4 exons.
UGAUAUUAUCAUUUUUUAAAAUUAGAUAAUGAUAUUUGUAUUUGUAUCAUUUUAAUAAGUGUGAUUAUGAUAUGAACGUUUGAUUGCAUAGCAUCUAAUUUGUAAUCAUCAUCCAUUCUCCAUCCACUUUUGUGAACAGAUGGUGUCCCUGAUGUGCUCCUGCAGAUUGGCUGUCCUGAUUGCAUCGUUUUAAAGGGGGACCGUUUCCCUCACAUACUCUUCUUAGCAGGAGAGAAAACGUCACCGCUGCUGAGCUGAAGGAAUAUGAGACCCAGUCGGAUUGACCAAGCUGCAUGUUUUCAACUCAGAUCAUGCUGCUUGAUUGUGGUCGUGAGAUACAAGGUCCAACGACAUAGACAGUGAAGCAGCCGGCCAAAACUGUGCAGCUCCGAGGGAAGAAGUCUCAGUCAAGACCGAACUGCAUCUGUGACCCAAGGCCGAGGGAGUAGUCCAGCCUCCUCGCCAGCUCCCCCACUGCCCCGCUGUCUUCCCUUUUUCGUCCAGCAUCACUGCCACAUGCUCACCAGUUCACUCCAGGGGAUAGACGUGUGCUCCAGAGAGAUUCCCAACAGAUUUACCUAAAUAAUCUACCAAGUAUGUGCCUGUAGCAGCUGGACAUGCGCGAAGAUCAGCUGGGGAGAUUGUCAUGGGCCAUGUAUGAUUGACCCAGUGAGGGCAGCAAGCCUGUUCUUCUCCUUUCUUUUUUAUUGCAGAAUCAACAUUCAAAUGUGUAAUUCAUCAUCACCUUUCAUUACACAUGACGUCCUCUGCCUGUCUCACUACACCAUUGCCCUGCCGUGAAUUUAGCAAAACAUGGUCUUAAUUGAUGUUGACCCACAAUGUUCCAGAGGUGAAACAAUUUUAUACUUCAAAACAAAUGUUUAAGGGUUACUGUUGAAAGUUAUGGUGAGAAAUGAUAUAAUAUCUGAAUCUACUUUGUGUAAGAGUGCAUUGCUGCCACCUAGUCAGUGUACAUUAUACUGAAAAACACGAAAUAAGCAAGCUUUUGUGAUGGGUGACUUUUGUUGCAGUUUAGGAAAUACAAAUAAAUCAAUGAAUGCUUCUGUUUUUUCUUUUCUUUUUGUGCAUGUUGGCAAUUUGUCAUUUGAAUACAACAG